Rosa rugosa (rugosa rose) is the source of this 259-nucleotide long non-coding RNA. RefSeq lists it as uncharacterized. The record is from RefSeq and is a predicted model, not a curated record. The transcript has 4 exons. NCBI's taxonomy places the organism in Eukaryota, Viridiplantae, Streptophyta, Magnoliopsida, Rosales, Rosaceae.
UUUCUGAAUUGUGCAGAAGACGUUCUCCUCUUCGUUUUCUUCUCUACCGGAAACUGCAGCCGUUUUCAUUUGUUGCUAUCAGAAACCAAAAGCUAUAGUGAAAUAUUGAUUCGGGUGUUUACAAAACCUUCUUCCUUAGAUGCGAGCGGUGUUUUCUCUGCAUCUUUUUAGGUUACGUGAAGAUCGAGAUGACUAAAUUCUUUGGUUCCAGCUGAGACUUAAAUUUAAGGAGGCUGACUACAUGAACAUGGGACUGCAA